Podarcis lilfordi (Lilford's wall lizard) is the source of this 74-nucleotide non-coding RNA. The record is from the annotation of a GenBank genome assembly. Lineage: Eukaryota; Metazoa; Chordata; Lepidosauria; Squamata; Lacertidae.
UCAUCUAGCUCAGCCAACAGAGCAUGAGACCCUGAAUCUCAGGGUUGUGGGUUUGAGUCCUACACUGGGCAAAA